This 434-nucleotide ribosomal RNA is filed under the name uncultured Rickettsiaceae bacterium. RNAcentral's name for it is "bacterial SSU rRNA". It matches the Rfam family "Bacterial small subunit ribosomal RNA", at positions 342 to 791 of the family's 1533-position model. Lineage: Bacteria; Pseudomonadati; Pseudomonadota; Alphaproteobacteria; Rickettsiales; Rickettsiaceae. The record is from RNAcentral.
CGGGGGGCAGCAGUGGGGAAUAUUGGACAAUGGGCGAAAGCCUGAUCCAGCAAUCCCGAGUGAGUGAUGAAGGCCUUAGGGUUGUAAAGCUCUUUUCAGCAGGGAAGAUAAUGACGGUACCUGACCAAGAAAGCCCCGGCUAACUCCGUGCCAGCAGCCGCGGUAAGACGGAGGGGGCUAGCGUUGUUCGGAAUUACUGGGCGUAAAGAGUGCGUAGGCGGUUUAGUAAGUUGGAAGUGAAAUCCCGAGGCUUAACCUCGGAACUGCUUUCAAAACUAUUAAUCUAGAGUGUAGUAGGGGAUGAUGGAAUUCCUAGUGUAGAGGUGAAAUUCUUAGAUAUUAGGAGGAACACCGGUGGCGAAGGCGGUCAUCUGGGCUACAACUGACGCUGAUGCACGAAAGCGUGGGGAGCAAACAGGAUUAGAUACCCCAGU